GCCACCGUAGCUCAGUUGGUAGAGCGUCACUUUCGUAAAGUGGGGGUCGGGUGUUCGAAUCACCUCGGUGGCUCAA
Molecule: transfer RNA, 76 nt
Filed under: Fidelibacterota bacterium
Lineage: Bacteria; Pseudomonadati; Fidelibacterota
Description: tRNA-Thr
Rfam family: tRNA
About the family: Transfer RNA (tRNA) molecules are approximately 80 nucleotides in length. Their secondary structure includes four short double-helical elements and three loops (D, anti-codon, and T loops).
Source: RNAcentral